Molecule: ribosomal RNA, 459 nt
Filed under: uncultured bacterium
Lineage: Bacteria
Description: SSU rRNA
Rfam family: Bacterial small subunit ribosomal RNA
Source: RNAcentral
AGAAUCAACGCUGGCGGCGUGCCUAACACAUGCAAGUCGAACGAGAAAGUGGAGCAAUCCAUGAGUAAAGUGGCGCACGGGUGAGUAACACGUGACUAACCUACCUUUUAGUGGGGGAUAACCUAGGGAAACCUGGGCUAAUACCGCAUAAUACCUACGGGUCAAAGCAGCAAUGCGCUGAAAGAGGGGGUCGCGGUCGAUUAGUUAGUUGGCAGGGUAAUGGCCUACCAAGACUGUGAUCGAUAUCCGGCCUGAGAGGGCGCACGGACACACUGGAACUGAAACACGGUCCAGACUCCUACGGGAGGCAGCAGUGGGGAAUUUGCGCAAUGGGGGAAACCCUGACGCAGCAACGCCGCGUGGAGGAUGAAGUCCCUUGGGACGUAAACUCCUUUCGAUCGGGACAUAAUGACGGUACCGGAAGAAGAACGCCCCGGCUAACUUCGUGCCAGCAGCCGC